AUAACAGGAAGACACUGAAGGAUUUUAAGCCCAGGAAAAUGUGGUCCAUUUAAUUGAUUUAGAAAGUCCCUCUUGCUCCUAGUUCUUCUACAGGGAAGAAGUAGGAUAUUAGAGGGCUCUAGUAGAGGUCCACGUAAGUGGUGAUGGUGAUUGAUAUUCAGGAUAUCUGCUGAGAUGAAGAAAAGGGGAGGACUAAAGGGAUAUUUUAUGGGAUAAAGGCCUUUUUCAUGGAUUAAAAAUGGGAAGUAAGGGAAGGGGUUAAUUGGAAAUGUUUCCUUGGGGUGUGAACAAACCGUUAUUAGGCUUGGGUGAUAGAGGGUAACAGCAUUGUCUUUCCCCUAAAGGGUGUUAUCUGCAUUUCUGCAUGGAACUUCUCCACGUGGCUUUAGUGUGGGGCACACUGAUGCAGCCAGGGCUGCUGCUGCUGCCUUGAAAGUUUGCUACCUGCAGAGAACUUGGUCUUGGCUUCUGGGAUAAGGAAGCCUUUUUCUGGAGGACACCAGAGACAGGGUUCAUGGCUAGGUACUAUCUCAAGUGGAGACCUUGGUAGAGGGUCAGGGCAGGUUACAGAGGGAUGGUCUGUGAGUGAGAGCUCACAGGGAAUUGCUGAAGUGGCCAGUGAGUGUGUGAUGUUAACUUGGCCUCAUUUGUACCUAAUCAGUAUUUAUGAUAUUCUUACAGCUAUGGCACCUUUUGGCUAUUGGCAACUUCUCAGAAAGGUUGAAAUUCAGAAUUAAGAGAUGUCAUAAAGUUAUUUUAGGUGCUAGGCUGCCCAGAUAUUUCAGUUUAUAUUGAGGUAUAUACCAUUCAUGCCCCCCCAUCAUACUGAAUUCAUAAAUGUCCCCAUUCUUCUAUUUCUUUUCUGAGAUGGAUGCAACAAAUGAGAGGGCGUAGUCUGAGCCCUACUGGGGAUAUAUCUCUGGGACCAUCAUCUGGGAGUUAUGAGUAGGCAGAGAGGUGAUUUUCAUUUUCUGCAAUAACUUCCCACAGUAAGUAGGUGGGAGGGUGCAGUGAUUGAUGAGCUAAAUUAGAUGGAAAGUGGCUCAAAUCAGAUUCUAGGUGAUUGCUCCUGCCUCUCGACUCACUGCACUUAUUUUCUAUUCCACUCAUUUAGCAAAUGAUUAUGGUCUGUCUUAUGACAUUUCUUAUAUUGUUGUUUCAUUCUUUACCUUUUUCCCACAUUUUCCUUUCUUUUUUCUCCAGCUACAUCAGUUACUCCUUAAAGAUAGGAAUGGGGUUUUGUUUAUUGUUCUGGUAUUUUCACGCCUUCCACAGAGUAAAUGCACAAUGAUUGCAUAGUGUUUGACUGAUAGUUGCUGCUCCAGAUGGAAUGUUUCCUAAAGAAGUUUGCUGAACAUAUCUUGCCUUAGAAAAGUAGAUAAUAAGGAUAAGGGCCACACUAAGCAUGUUUCAGUUUCAAAUAUCAAGCAUUUUGGAAGAUGAAUUUGAGAUAACUCCAUUCUAACCAUUAUACUACAGCUCUGACUGGACCCUUAGCCUGGGAACCUCCAUAUGCUGUGGGUGCAGCCCUAAAAAAAAAGAAAAGAAAAGAAAAGAAAUGGUCUAGUUUUUUUAAUGGUGAAACUUUCUCUAAAGUUUAUAUAAGGUGGAGUCACAUGAAAUCCCCAGUGUUUGAGCUGCAAAUAUGGCAAAAUCGUAUGGAUCAAUCUAAUAAGACAAUCAGCCAAUAAUGAUUCAUUCCACUGAUUCAGUCUGAGAUGGAAAUGAACUAAUAGGAAGCAAGGCUCACUUCUGCUAUAAUAGCUUGGGAAAGAGAGGUCAUUGGGGCAGAGGAAGUGAUGUUAGGGGCAGGUUUCCCUGAAUGACCACUGAUUUUUCUCAUGAGUUGGGACUUCUGGUUCUGACCUGUGGUUUUUGUUCUAGUAUUCCCCAAGACCUUUUAAUGCCGCCUAAACAGGAGUCACGACGGGGCCCAGAAGGGUCAAGGCACGAUACCUUGGAGUUAUAACACCCAUUAACUGCCAGCCCAUCCACCUUGGAGAUGCUAGAGAUGGUCAGGGGAAGCUAGAUGUGGCAGCCGAUGGCACUAAUUUCAUAGUUUUCUUCUAUUUCCUUCCUUGUUUCCAUUACAUUCCUUAGAAUAGCUCUGCCUCCUUUGCUCUCUUGAUUAAAUCCUGGGUUUUGAGUACUGGGUUCAGUCUGCAGAUGUUGGAAGCUUGGGAAAGACUUGCAUUGGUUGUUUCCCCUUAAUUCCUCUGGUUAAACAGAGAGGAAUCUUCUAGAUUCCCCUAGCGGAACUCAGAUUCACCAGCUGGACAUGAGGGGGUGCCUUUGCCUUAUUUUCUGUGAGAACCAAGGGGAGCCUGACUUCAUGUUAGAGAGGAGAGACUGGAAGGUGAAGCUUGAGAACAAGGAAGAUAUGUCAUUGGAAAUAGGAGCCAAAGUCCAGAAGAACAAGUCUGGGAACUGAAUUAACUGGGGGAAAGAAAGCUAUCAAGUGUAUUUUUACCAUUAGAUAGAGCAAGAAAUACUUUUUAAAACCAGGUCUUCCCUGGAUUCUGUCAUUACUAAAAGCAUAACCAGAGAGUAGCUUUUUCAAGUCAGAAAAAUAUUGGAAAUAAGGAAAAAUACUUGGCUUGCUGUACUUAGAACUCCACAUGACCUACAGUUAUGUAUCUAAGAAAGAGGCAAAGCCGUAGUAUUAGGAAAAAUUAAGGUAUAUCCAAACAUUGAAGCAAAGCUUCAGCCCCUUGUUAUUACCUCUGAAUGGUGCUUUAGAUUCUUUAUAAAUUUACUCCAUGAAUGACCUUAACCAAAGUUUGCCCAUGAUAUCAUUUGUUUCUUGUAGCAGCCCUGAGAAAAAGAAAGUAUGACCCAUUUAUAGAUGGAGAAAAUGAGCCUCAGAGAGGUUAAAAAAAAAAAAACCCUACAAUCAUACAGAUUGCAAAAUCAGUUGCAGAGAUGGAAUUUCAAUCUGAACUUGUCUGAUUCCAGAGCCAGUACUUUUUCUACCAUGUCAUACUUUUUUCCCUCUCUAGUUGGAGGCAUCUUUAAAAAGGAAAAGGAAUUAUGUGAAAUUCUUCUAAAAAAAGGCUAAAAGUAGGCCAAUGUCCCAUCCCCAAAGAGCAGCAGUAGAGUGUGACAUGGGAUACCAGCUUAGGUUUCUUCUAAGAGCAAAAAUGCAGAAUCCAAGGCCCAAUUCCACUCUCAGAAUCAGCAUUUUAGUCUAUGGCCAUACCACCUUGAACGCGCCCAAUCUCAUCUGAUCGCAGAAACGAAGCAGGGUUAGGGGUGGUUAGUACUUGGAUAGAGGAAUUAGCAUUUUAACAGGCUGCUCAUAGGGUGCAGAAUCUAAGGGCCCAUUCCAGAAUCAGAAUCUACUGAUUUCUAUAUUUAGAAACCCCCCAGGUGAUUUUUAAGCACAUUAAAGUUUGAGAAGCACUGCCCUAACCAUCUGAAAGCUGCUUCUCUAUACUUGUUCUGUCUCAGGUCCUGUAAGUCUUUGACUCAGGGAAGGAUCAUGGCUGGUUAUUGCCCUGGUAUCAAUUUCAGAGACAGAUCAUAAACAACAGGGGUCAUAUCUUUGUUUCCUCUUCUUUUAUAUCCCCUCUUCACUCUCUAGUCUUUUUCACUUGCCCAUAUGGCAAUGAAGUCAGGAGAGAAUGAAAAAAAAAAAGAGUUAAAAUUAAGGAAUAGGAAUUUCUGAUCAAGGUUUUCUGUGCCAGCUUUAUGCUCCCUUCCCAAAUUGUGCUAAGUAAUGUGCCCAACAAUAUCAACCUUAUCAGAGAAUACCAGCAUCCUGACUGUUCAGUACACCCUUUUGAAAUUAUUAUAGCUCCUACAAUUACUUAGAGGUCAUGCACUUUGGGUUUCUCAUUCAAUCCAGAAAAGAGCUUUCUAGGUUUUAUUUCUGUUUCACACACAGCCAUAUACUCAAGCAUCUUAAGGGUGGCUGAGCAUAAGUAUGAUAAAUUUCAACCUUUAAAGACAAAUUUGAGAAAACUACCAUUGAUGGAACCCCAGGGCUUAGAGUGGCCCAUUUUGGUCAUGAGGCUGAACCAGCCACAUGUAACACUGGCUGCUUUUUACCACACAGGUUCCCUCUUAGAUAUGAGGAUUAUGGCAUUUGCUUCUGCUUUCUUUCGGCUUCAGUGAAAAUGGCCUUCCACGGUUUUUUCUCUCUAAUUUUUUUUUCUCUGUAUGAUUAUAGAAUGAUCUGUGAAGCAGAAAGAAGACAAAAAAAAUUAUAAGCUGGGUCUACUCUGUGGUCUCAACAGAAAUUCAGCAAAUGUGACAGGGGAGUCAAUGGGAAACCCAUCACCCGUCAUCAGUCUGUCACAUUGACAAUGAGCACCAUGCCUAAUUUCUGCAGGGUGUACUUUCAAACACACCAACAUGUAAAUUUUUAGGCAGGCGUUAAUAAGGGAAACCCUUUAAAUAAAAAUCCAAAUUACUUUUUUUUAAUGGAAAAAAAAAAA
RNAcentral lists this long non-coding RNA (4439 nucleotides) under Sus scrofa (pig). RNAcentral's name for it is "lncRNA (ENSSSCG00060071344.1)". The record is from RNAcentral. Lineage: Eukaryota; Metazoa; Chordata; Mammalia; Artiodactyla; Suidae.